Long non-coding RNA from Cucurbita pepo subsp. pepo (vegetable marrow), 765 nucleotides. RefSeq lists it as uncharacterized. The record is from RefSeq and is a predicted model, not a curated record. NCBI's taxonomy places the organism in Eukaryota, Viridiplantae, Streptophyta, Magnoliopsida, Cucurbitales, Cucurbitaceae.
UUUUCCUUAAGUUUGUUCUAUCGUUCAACUUCUUCAUCUUGCUAGCGAGUUACAGAUUUGCUUUCACUCUGAAAUCUGUCUCUCCGAUCGGUGUUCUGCAAAAGCUAUGGCAGCCUCUUCAUUUUCUUUGCUUCAACUCAGAUUCUUCGCCUUCUUCCAUUUGCAGCAGAUUAAUCACUCCAGAAGGAUUCAUUUUCAGAUGAUACUUGACGAAUCAUUUCUUUGCCCGAGUUUCGGCGAUGUCUGAAUCCAGAAGGAUUCACUUUCAGAUGAUCCUCGACGAAUCAUUUCUUUGCCCGAGUUUCGGUGUUCUGAAUCCAGUCUAGCAGGUGCCGGACGGCGUCUCCAAUCUUAGCCGGGCAACCCAGCUCGUCCAACACUCCAUUCCGUUACUCUGCCGCCGGUAAAUGUCGGCUCCGCCUCCGUUCUCCGCCGUUUCUCUGCCAAGGUCCACUCCAUUUCCUCCACUUUAAUGAAAUGCCACGCCGAUUUCAAGGCUUUACUUCCACUUCCAACUCUCAUGAAGCUUUUAUUUCCUUUUGGUAAUGGCCAUCACUUUUGAAAUAGUGGCCGGCCACUUUGGGAUCAUUUUGAUUAAAAUAAUUGACCACGAACCAUCGAAAUGUUACGAACCACGACUUUCGGUGAUUGUAUGAUAUUGUACACUGAGUAUUAAGUUCUCUUAGCUUUACUUUUAGCAUAGCUUCAUACCAAUGAAGAUAGUAUUAUUUGAUUAUAAAUCCAUGAUCGAUGUGGGAUUUUCAU